CCUACGGGAGGCUGCAGUGAGGAAUAUUGGUCAAUGGGCGUAAGCCUGAACCAGCCAAGUCGCGUGAGGGAUGAAGGCUCUAUGGAUCGUAAACCUCUUUUAUAAGGGAAUAAAGUGCGGGACGUGUCCCUUUUUGUAUGUACCUUAUGAAUAAGGAUCGGCUAACUCCGUGCCAGCAGCCGCGGUAAUACGGAGGAUCCGAGCGUUAUCCGGAUUUAUUGGGUUUAAAGGGUGCGUAGGCGGGCUUUUAAGUCAGCUGUGAAAGUCUGUGGCUCAACCGUAGAAUUGCCGUUGAAACUGGGAGGCUUGAGUACAUUUGAGGCAGGCGGAAUGCGUGGUGUAGCGGUGAAAUGCUUAGAUAUCACGCAGAACGCCGAUUGCGAAGGCAGCCUACCAAGC
This 399-nucleotide ribosomal RNA is filed under the name uncultured bacterium. Its description in RNAcentral is "partial 16S ribosomal RNA". It matches the Rfam family "Bacterial small subunit ribosomal RNA", at positions 338 to 734 of the family's 1533-position model. The record is from RNAcentral.